Ictalurus furcatus (blue catfish) is the source of this 992-nucleotide long non-coding RNA. RefSeq lists it as uncharacterized. The record is from RefSeq and is a predicted model, not a curated record. Lineage: Eukaryota; Metazoa; Chordata; Actinopteri; Siluriformes; Ictaluridae. The transcript is spliced from 3 exons.
GGGGGGGGGGGGGGGGACCCCGCAAUACAUAUGACAGUAUUAUGCAACAUGAGAAAAGUUCUCCUUCUUCCUCGUGGAUCACCUUUACAAGACAAUUUGGUAAAUUACUGUUCUCACAAGACAGCUAAAGGUCAUAUUACCAUAGCUCUUUUCUUAAAGCACCCCUACUAUGCUUUUUCAGAUAUUAACUUUCAUGUAGUGUGUUAUGUAGUUGCUUGUGAAUGUAAGAAGUCUGAGAAGUUUCAAAAAUCAAAGUGAACGACAAAUUUGAAAAAAAAAAUUUCUUUAAUUGACUCCCAAAAGAAGGAACCGAUUGUGAACAGCUAAAACGAGUCGUUAGUAAUUCCAGACUCUCUCUGGCCCACCUCUGGUCUUCACUGGCUGCUUGCGAACAGCGUGUACUUUGACCCAACCUCAAACACUACAGCUGAGGUUGCGUCCUGAGAGAUUUAGGUUCAUGUCUAGAAAACGUUUUCUGUGCUGCAAAGCAAAACCACUUUGCAUGGACUAUCAAACGAUGAGGAUGUAAAGCAUCAGUGGUUAGAAUUCAUUUUAAACGGAUACCACAGCAGUUCAACUCCGACCUUCGUCUGUGUUUCCAUCAUUUCACUGACGAAUGCUUCUCAAAUCCAGCUGAAGUAAACGCAGGAUUUGAGAGGUGUUUAAUCAUUAAAGACGAGGCUGUUCCCACUUUAUUUGGACCAUCUUGUGCCUCAGGAUCACAACCUGCAAGUCUUCCUUUCUCUCCAAUGAGAUUUGAUGAUGCAGUGCAGGUUCUCUUCAAUCACAAACCUCUCUACAGAGUGACUGCCAGGCAUGACAGGGCCCUGAGAGCAAAACACCUCAAUCACACAUGCAACACACUUACAGAGUACGUGGAAAGAGAUGAAAAGGCCCUUCCCGACAUAAGAAGUGUGCAAGAGCUGCUGACAUUUCUAGCGUUAGAUGGACGAGACUGUACCUCAGGAGCAUCGGUGUAGUCGAACAUGCGG